This 550-nucleotide ribosomal RNA is filed under the name uncultured bacterium. Its description in RNAcentral is "bacterial SSU rRNA". It matches the Rfam family "Bacterial small subunit ribosomal RNA", at positions 355 to 896 of the family's 1533-position model. The record is from RNAcentral.
UAGGGGAUCUUCGGCAAUGGACGGAAGUCUGACCGAGCAACGCCGCGUGAGUGAAGAAGGUUUUCGGAUCGUAAAGCUCUGUUGUAAGAGAAGAACGAGUGUGAGAGUGGAAAGUUCACACUGUGACGGUAUCUUACCAGAAAGGGACGGCUAACUACGUGCCAGCAGCCGCGGUAAUACGUAGGUCCCGAGCGUUGUCCGGAUUUAUUGGGCGUAAAGCGAGCGCAGGCGGUUAGAUAAGUCUGAAGUUAAAGGCUGUGGCUUAACCAUAGUAGGCUUUGGAAACUGUUUAACUUGAGUGCAAGAGGGGAGAGUGGAAUUCCAUGUGUAGCGGUGAAAUACGUAGAUAUAUGGAGGAACACCGGUGGCGAAAGCGGCUCUCUGGCUUGUAACUGACGCUGAGGCUCGAAAGCGUGGGGAGCAAACAGGAUUAGAUACCCUGGUAGUCCACGCUGUAAACGAUGAGUGCUAGGUGUUAGACCCUUUCCGGGGUUUAGUGCCGUAGCUAACGCAUUAAGCACUCCGCCUGGGGAGUACGACCGCAAGGUUG